RNAcentral lists this ribosomal RNA (449 nucleotides) under uncultured bacterium. RNAcentral describes it as "partial 16S ribosomal RNA". It matches the Rfam family "Bacterial small subunit ribosomal RNA", at positions 338 to 795 of the family's 1533-position model. The record is from RNAcentral.
CCUACGGGCGGCUGCAGUGGGGAAUUUUGGACAAUGGGGGCAACCCUGAUCCAGCCAUGCCGCGUGAGUGAAGAAGGCCUUCGGGUUGUAAAGCUCUUUCGGCCGGGAAGAAAUCGUGCGGGCCAAUACCCUGCAUGGAUGACGGUACCGGAAGAAGAAGCACCGGCUAACUACGUGCCAGCAGCCGCGGUAAUACGUAGGGUGUGAGCGUUAAUCGGGAUUACGGGGCGUACGGCGUGCGCAGGCGGCGAAAUCCCCGGGCUUAACCUGGGAACGGCGUUUGUGACUGUGGUGCUUGAGUGCGGCAGAGGGGGGUGGAAUUCCACGUGUAGCAGUGAAAUGCGUAGAGAUGUGGAGGAACACCGAUGGCGAAGGCAGCCCCCUGGGUCGACACUGACGCUCAUGCACGAAAGCGUGGGGAGCAAACAGGAUUAGAUACCCCGGUAGUC